Molecule: ribosomal RNA, 270 nt
Filed under: uncultured bacterium
Lineage: Bacteria
Description: partial 16S ribosomal RNA
Rfam family: Bacterial small subunit ribosomal RNA
Source: RNAcentral
GAUAAACGCUGGCGGCGUGCUUUAAGCAUGCAAGUCGCACGGAUACUCGCAAGAGUGUGAGUGGCAGACGGCUGAGGAAGACGGAAGGAACCUGCCCUUCAGAGGGGGAUAACUCCGCGAAAGCGGGGCUAAGACCGCGUACGCUCGUGGUGGGGAGAGCACCACGAGGAAAGCCGCAAGGCGCUGAGGGAGGGGCUUCCGGCCCAUCAGGUAGUUGGUGAGGUAAGAGCCCACCAAGCCGAUGACGGGUCGCUGGUCUAAGAGGAUGAU